This 460-nucleotide ribosomal RNA is filed under the name uncultured bacterium. Its description in RNAcentral is "partial 16S ribosomal RNA". It matches the Rfam family "Bacterial small subunit ribosomal RNA", at positions 338 to 795 of the family's 1533-position model. The record is from RNAcentral.
CCUACGGGAGGCAGCAGUGAGGAAUAUUGGUCAAUGGACGCAAGUCUGAACCAGCCAUGCAGCGUGCAGGAAGACGGCUCUAUGAGUUGUAAACUGCUUUUGUACGAGGGUAAACGCAGAUACGCGUAUCUGUCUGCAAGUAUCGUACGAAUAAGGAUCGGCUAACUCCGUGCCAGCAGCCGCGGUAAUACGGAGGAUUCAAGCGUUAUCCGGAUUUAUUGGGUUUAAAGGGUGCGUAGGGGGUCGGAUAAGUUAGAGGUGAAAUCCCGAGGCUCAACUUCGGAAUUGCCUCUGAUACUGGUCGGCUAGAGAGUAGUUGCGGUAGGCGGAAUUUAUGGUGUAGCGGUGAAAUGCUUAGAGAUCAUACAGAACACCGAUUGCGAAGGCAGCUUACCAAGCUACGUCUGACGUUGAGGCACGAAAGCGUGGGGAGCAAACAGGAUUAGAUACCCCAGUAGUC